GACGAACGCUGGCGGCGUGCUUAACACAUGCAAGUCGAACGGAAAGGCCCUGCUUUUGUGGGGUGCUCGAGUGGCGAACGGGUGAGUAACACGUGAGUAACCUGCCCUUGACUUUGGGAUAACUUCAGGAAACUGUGGCUAAUACCGGAUAGGAGCUCCUGCUGCAAGGUGGGGGUUGGAAAGUUUCGGCGGUUGGGGAUGGACUCGCGGCUUAUCAGCUUGUGGGUGGGGUAGUGGCUUACCAAGGCUUUGACGGGUAGCCGGCCUGAGAGGGUGACCGGCCACAUUGGGACUGAGAUACGGCCCAGACUCCUACGGGAGGCAGCAGUGGGGAAUAUUGCACAAUGGGCGGAAGCCUGAUGCAGCAACGCCGCGUGCGGGAUGACGGCCUUCGGGUUGUAAACCGCUUUCGCCUGUGACGAAGCGUGAGUGACGGUAAUGGGUAAAGAAGCACCGGCUAACUACGUG
RNAcentral lists this ribosomal RNA (468 nucleotides) under uncultured bacterium. RNAcentral describes it as "partial 16S ribosomal RNA". It matches the Rfam family "Bacterial small subunit ribosomal RNA", at positions 28 to 507 of the family's 1533-position model. The record is from RNAcentral.